RNAcentral lists this unclassified non-coding RNA (2560 nucleotides) under Hevea brasiliensis (rubber tree). Lineage: Eukaryota; Viridiplantae; Streptophyta; Magnoliopsida; Malpighiales; Euphorbiaceae. The record is from RNAcentral.
CACGCUACUGAUUUUCCCGUUUUGCCCCCUUGUUCUGUUACUUUAUUGUCAUAAACGAUAAAUUACAUCCCAAGAGAGCUUACAGGAACAGUGGAAGGCAAAGAAGAAAGGGUUAUUGACUUUGUUGUCAAGUGAAAUAUUCAAUAUCUUGUCAGCAUCACCACAAAACUUAUAAAAAUCAUCUUGAUUGGCAACCCUUCGGAUUCUCCCUAUUUAUCUUUUUAGAGUCAAUCAUCCAGACGGUCAAAAAGAUACUGAAAGCAACAAAAGAAGACCGGAAGUCCUUAAAAUAGUGAUUUCAUUAACGCAACGUGGCCGAAGUCAGGUUUCUGAGUAGUUAAACCGCAUUUACUAUGGUAUGCCAGGAGUCAAAUGAGCAACAUUCUCCAGAAUAAAAAAAUGAUAUGCGUGAUUUUUCACCUCCCUUAGCUGUUUUCUCUUCAACAUUCGUCUACCCACAGGUGCCUUCAAAACAUCCAAUUUGGGCCAUCCAGCAAAAAUGCCAAAUUAAUUGUUCAACUAUUUCACCUCAUCUUGUGAUUACAAAGUUUAAGAUUCUCACAAGUCAUUCGAUCCGAGUCAACCCUCGUCAAUUCUAAACAACUGGCAAACAUAAGCCGUGUGUUACAAGGGCCACCAAAAUCCAAAAAGCUCCAACAGAACCAACUUCACAAAUAUGGUUAAAUUCAUCAGAGUAAAAAGUCUACAAUUUGUCUUCAAAAUUCACAAGUUCAUGAAAAUUCACAUACAAAACAGAAUAUAAUGAAGAUCAAAGUAAUGUUGCUCAUCAGACGUCUGUAGCACACUGCAUUAUCAAAUGAGCACUUUAUUCCUCCUCCAGGAGUUGUCAAGAAUGCUUCCUGCACAAGGUCUCAUAUUAUUGAAAAACUUACAAUCAAAAUUUUGGUAAUACACACCACCGCAAUUGAAAAGGGGAAAGUAGCCAUGAAAUGAACACACAAGUGACAGGAGAAGCACAUACUUUAGGACCUAAGAAUGUUAGGCCUAGCGCUAGUGUUUCAUACAGGGAAAUUGCAAGAAACAAGAGGGAAAUGAAGGAAAAAAGGAUAAGAAGGAAUCUUCAAGAAUUGUAAGUAGAUGUCGGUAGAAAGAGUAAUUGAGAGUUUAUUUUUUGUAACAAUGUUUGUUCCAAAACAUGUCAGAACUCUACCACAUCAAGCUAGCUAAAUUGAUUUUGAAAAAAAAAAAGUCUAACAGCUCAACCAAUUGACCUCCAACUGACUGAUUACCAGUCUUGUUAAAUCAUCCACUUAUUAGAUGACACAGUUUAGUAUCCUAACAUUAUCUUUGUCCUCAGAUGUUACAAAACAGGCCAAUAGAGCAGCAUCUGGUUCUGUCCAUGUACAAAAGUCAGUUUAACAGCAUAUUAUCUGAUUUCCUAACAUAGAACCAUCAUCAUCUUAAACAGCUCACAUCAUAUUAGAACCAUCAUCAUCUUAACCAGCUCACAUCAUAUUAGAACGAUUAUCAUGUGUAACCGACAAAUGCAAAGACCUUUUUUUAAUUAAUUUUUUCUACUUCAAUCGGUUUGGUUAUUCAUCCUCAUUAUCCUGAAUAGAAAUCAUUAGUGACAAAACAAGUAUUUCAAAUUUGACCACAAAAUUCCAUGUCCAUGGGUACUAAGCAGAUUGACCUUCAACAGCAGACUUAUAUCCAUCUACUUGAGAUGCUGUCUUUCUGAUGAACUUUUAUCUCCAGAGCUCUUGGUACCUUGUAAUGAAUUUUCUUCCUGUUAUACGAAUGUCUAGACAACAGUUCAUAAAUGUUUUACUUGUUAUAAAAACUAUAUUAAUUGAUCAACAGUAGAUGAUAGAUAAAAUAUGACAAUUGCCCUUCUAAUGCCUGAUCCAAGGAAUCAAUUUUAACCUUUGCUCUAUCUAUCAAUCCACAUAAUCAAUCACCCAAUAACAGUGGAACAACUACAUAUCUUAGAUAACUGCCCUUAUUAACAAUUAAAACAUAUUUAACACUUUUAGUUCUCGUUGCUAGUUUGCAAUCUUCAUGCUUAAUUGAGAUGAAUAUGGGGAUGAACAAUCAACAAUCGAUUUUAUUACCAUAUGGUUUCUGCAUUUUACGUUAUGGGGUUCAUAGAAAGUCAACCAAACAAUGUAGACAAAAGCAUUUUAUCAAUUACAACGUUAUGAACAAGCAACAAAGCAAAAACCCUAGGCAGUAAUACUGAAAUAAAAUACCAAUAAAUGGCGAAUGUCAUCCAUAUGCCUAAUAAUGGAAAGAAAAAUUACCAGAGAGAAAACCCUAAUUGGGAGAAGGGGCAGAUAGACUUUCCAUGAGCUUCUUAUCCCUUCUCUCCAUGGCCACAUCCCACAUAUCGUUACCGAUGUGCUUCGGCCGGCCAUGAGCGGCUUUGUGGAUGUAAUACUGAGCAUUACCCAUCACACAGAGCAUUCCUGCUAUGAUUCCGAGUGGUAGCGCUGCUUCUAACCACAUCCACGACAUUUUUAUUUUUGUCUGUCAAUAGUUCGAUAGAUCUCCUCUCUUCCCCCUCCUGCUUCUUCCGCUUCCACGAGGUUGAUUUUUG